Pteropus alecto (black flying fox) is the source of this 119-nucleotide non-coding RNA. NCBI's taxonomy places the organism in Eukaryota, Metazoa, Chordata, Mammalia, Chiroptera, Pteropodidae. The record is from Rfam.
GUCUAUGGCCAUGCCACCCUGAACAAGCCCGAUCCCGUCUGAUCUCGGAAGCUAAGCAGGGUCAGGCCUGGUUAGUACUUGGAAGGGAGACCACCCAGGAAGACCAGGUACUGUAGGCG